GUCUACGGCCAUGCCACCCUGAACAAGCCCGAUCCCGUCUCAUCUCGGAAGCUAAGCAGAGUUGGGCCAGGUCAGUACUUGGAUAGCAGACCACCUAGGACGACCAGGUGCUGUAGGCA
RNAcentral lists this ribosomal RNA (119 nucleotides) under Pteropus alecto (black flying fox). Lineage: Eukaryota; Metazoa; Chordata; Mammalia; Chiroptera; Pteropodidae. The record is from RNAcentral.